Molecule: unclassified non-coding RNA, 334 nt
Filed under: soil metagenome
Description: partial contains 5.8S ribosomal RNA, internal transcribed spacer 2, and large subunit ribosomal RNA
Rfam family: 5.8S ribosomal RNA (bases 1-120)
Source: RNAcentral
GAUGAAGAACGCAGCGAAAUGCGAUAAGUAGUGUGAAUUGCAGAAUUCAGAGAAUCAUCGAAUCUUUGAACGCACAUUGCGCCCCUUGGUAUUCCAUGGGGCAUGCCUGUUCGAGCGUCAUUUGUACCUUCAAGCUUUGCUUGGUGUUGGGUGUUUGUCCAUUCUCUUGCAGAGGGACUCGCCUUAAAGUAAUUGGCAGCCAGUGUUUUGGUUUUGAAGCGCAGCACAAGUCGCGAUUCAACGCUAUACACCAGCUUCCACAAGCCUUUUUCACUUUUGACCUCGGAUCAGGUAGGGAUACCCGCUGAACUUAAGCAUAUCAAUAAGCGGAGGA